This 253-nucleotide ribosomal RNA is filed under the name uncultured bacterium. RNAcentral's name for it is "partial 16S ribosomal RNA". It matches the Rfam family "Bacterial small subunit ribosomal RNA", at positions 524 to 776 of the family's 1533-position model. The record is from RNAcentral.
UACGGAGGGUGCAAGCGUUAUCCGGAUUCACUGGGUUUAAAGGGUGCGUAGGUGGGUCUGUAAGUCAGUGGUGAAAUCCCCGAGCUUAACUUGGGAACUGCCAUUGAUACUAUAGCUCUUGAAUACUGUGGAGGUCAGCGGAAUAUGUCAUGUAGCGGUGAAAUGCUUAGAUAUGACAUAGAACACCAAUUGCGAAGGCAGCUGGCUACACAAAUAUUGACACUGAGGCACGAAAGCGUGGGGAUCAAACAGG